Molecule: ribosomal RNA, 1078 nt
Filed under: Bacillus sp. NCCP-2397
Lineage: Bacteria; Bacillati; Bacillota; Bacilli; Caryophanales; Bacillaceae
Description: bacterial SSU rRNA
Rfam family: Bacterial small subunit ribosomal RNA
Source: RNAcentral
UGCAGUCGAGCGGACAGAUGGGAGCUUGCUCCCUGAUGUUAGCGGCGGACGGGUGAGUAACACGUGGGUAACCUGCCUGUAAGACUGGGAUAACUCCGGGAAACCGGGGCUAAUACCGGAUGGUUGUUUGAACCGCAUGGUUCAGACAUAAAAGGUGGCUUCGGCUACCACUUACAGAUGGACCCGCGGCGCAUUAGCUAGUUGGUGAGGUAACGGCUCACCAAGGCGACGAUGCGUAGCCGACCUGAGAGGGUGAUCGGCCACACUGGGACUGAGACACGGCCCAGACUCCUACGGGAGGCAGCAGUAGGGAAUCUUCCGCAAUGGACGAAAGUCUGACGGAGCAACGCCGCGUGAGUGAUGAAGGUUUUCGGAUCGUAAAGCUCUGUUGUUAGGGAAGAACAAGUGCCGUUCAAAUAGGGCGGCACCUUGACGGUACCUAACCAGAAAGCCACGGCUAACUACGUGCCAGCAGCCGCGGUAAUACGUAGGUGGCAAGCGUUGUCCGGAAUUAUUGGGCGUAAAGGGCUCGCAGGCGGUUUCUUAAGUCUGAUGUGAAAGCCCCCGGCUCAACCGGGGAGGGUCAUUGGAAACUGGGGAACUUGAGUGCAGAAGAGGAGAGUGGAAUUCCACGUGUAGCGGUGAAAUGCGUAGAGAUGUGGAGGAACACCAGUGGCGAAGGCGACUCUCUGGUCUGUAACUGACGCUGAGGAGCGAAAGCGUGGGGAGCGAACAGGAUUAGAUACCCUGGUAGUCCACGCCGUAAACGAUGAGUGCUAAGUGUUAGGGGGUUUCCGCCCCUUAGUGCUGCAGCUAACGCAUUAAGCACUCCCCGCCGGGGGAGUACGGUCGCAAGACUGAAACUCAAAGGAAUUGACGGGGGCCCGCACAAGCGGUGGAGCAUGUGGUUUAAUUCGAAGCAACGCGAAGAACCUUACCAGGUCUUGACAUCCUCUGACAAUCCUAGAGAUAGGACGUCCCCUUCGGGGGCAGAGUGACAGGUGGUGCAUGGUUGUCGUCAGCUCGUGUCGUGAGAUGUUUGGGUUAAGUCCCGCAACGAGCGCAACCCUUGAUCUUA